RNAcentral lists this transfer RNA (105 nucleotides) under Curvularia clavata. Its description in RNAcentral is "tRNA-Met". The record is from RNAcentral. Lineage: Eukaryota; Fungi; Ascomycota; Dothideomycetes; Pleosporales; Pleosporaceae.
GUCUCGUUGGUGUAGUUGGUUAUCACGUGGGUCUCAUAUCAUCACAUAUGACUACUAAAAAUAGUGGAUAUCCCAAGGCCGCCAGUUCGAGUCUGGCACGGGACA